UCGGAUAAGCCUGGGAAACUGGGUCUAAUACCGGAUAGGACGAUGGUUUGGAUGCCAUUGUGGAAAGUUUUUUCGGUGUGGGAUGAGCUCGCGGCCUAUCAGCUUGUUGGUGGGGUAAUGGCCUACCAAGGCGUCGACGGGUAGCCGGCCUGAGAGGGUGUACGGCCACAUUGGGACUGAGAUACGGCCCAG
This 192-nucleotide ribosomal RNA is filed under the name uncultured Actinomycetales bacterium. Its description in RNAcentral is "partial 16S ribosomal RNA". It matches the Rfam family "Bacterial small subunit ribosomal RNA", at positions 138 to 334 of the family's 1533-position model. Lineage: Bacteria; Bacillati; Actinomycetota; Actinomycetes; Actinomycetales. The record is from RNAcentral.